GCCAGUCCCACCCGAGGGCAAGGUGGUCACUUGGCCGUUUCCUUUCCUUACCCUGCAGCUUCCAGGAGUCAAGUGUUAGCUCCCCAGGCAGAGGUCCCUUGUGCCGGCCUAGGAAGUGGCACCUCUUGCCAGUCGAAGGCUGCCCUCCCUAGUCCCAGCCCAGCCCCAGGGUGAGAGGUCUCCUGGACCCCCCGGAGCCCGCCUCGCUCAUGUCCACAUUCCGCGCUGAGGUUCCGAGCCUCUGUGAGUCACACUGCCAGCGAGGGCUGGAACCCGGGCCUGCGUUCUGCCAGCUCAGGGUCCUGGGCUGAGGCGGCCUGUCGCCUCAAAGCUCUGCACACUGUGGGGCCCAUCCGACCGGCGUGGACUUCUGCUGGAUGAAUUCUCAGACUCGACAGCACAGGAGUGGCAGCUGCCUGCUUGCCUUCUCCAGGACGGCAACUGCGGAGCUGCCCCCGCCUCCCCCGCCUGGACGGGAGCCAGCAGGACUCGCUCACUGGUGUGCAGGACUGAAAGACGAAUCACAGGCAGUGGUGACAUGGCUACUUAUCAGGCAGCACUGGGACUGGCACACCGUCACCCUUCCCCUGUGAGAUGCACGGAUCUAUGUCACCCUUUGUGGUCGGUCUAUUCUGUUCUCUUGUGAAGUAUUUCCCACACUUACUUGAUCAUGUACAUCCUGAGAAGCACUUAUAUGAUUUGCUACUGCAAAGUGUGACCAUAAACGCAGUGUAUUACACACAUACUCUCGUGCACUCUGAUGAGUUUACGUAGUCAGAUUCCUAGAACUGUUUCUCUCCUUUUUUUUAUUCUAUUCUUCUUGCUUGCUUGCUUGCUUUUACAUUUAAUUUCUUUCUUUCGUUUUUUUUUUUUUUUUUUUUUUGGUACUGGAGAUUGAAUCCAAGAUAUUUGCACUGAGCUACACUUCCAGUCCUUUUCAUUGUGUAUUCUGAAAUUUGAGACAGAAUUUCACGAAGUCACUAAGGUACCCAGGCUUUGGUACUCCUGCUACACCUGCUCCAACUUCCCUGAGUUCUGCAAUUACAGGCAUGUGCCACCAUGCCCAGUGUAUUUGUUUAAGUGUGUGUGUGUGUUACUGGGGACUGAAUUCUGGACCUUUGUAUUGAGCUAAAUCCUUAGCCCUUUUCAUUUUAUGAUUUUUUUAAGUUUUGAAACAAGUUCUUGCUAAGUUGCCCUGAUUGGGCUCAAACUUGUGAUCUCCUGCCUCAGACUCCUAAGUA
This 1241-nucleotide long non-coding RNA is filed under the name Chinchilla lanigera (long-tailed chinchilla). RNAcentral describes it as "lncRNA (ENSCLAG00000024717.1)". Lineage: Eukaryota; Metazoa; Chordata; Mammalia; Rodentia; Chinchillidae. The record is from RNAcentral.